This 25-nucleotide microRNA is filed under the name Eptesicus fuscus (big brown bat). RNAcentral's name for it is "efu-miR-211". Its record names the gene efu-miR-211. Lineage: Eukaryota; Metazoa; Chordata; Mammalia; Chiroptera; Vespertilionidae. The record is from miRBase by way of RNAcentral.
UUCCCUUUGUCAUCCUUUGCCUCGG